Gavialis gangeticus (Gharial) is the source of this 271-nucleotide long non-coding RNA. RefSeq lists it as uncharacterized. The transcript is spliced from 3 exons. The record is from RefSeq and is a predicted model, not a curated record. NCBI's taxonomy places the organism in Eukaryota, Metazoa, Chordata, Crocodylia, Gavialidae.
UCAAUUCUACAUUUUGAACCUGUUUUGACAUUUCGUACAUAGGAUAUAAUGGACAAGGUCAAAACAGGCAAUAACUUUGCCAUUUCUGGCCUGAUUUCCAUGACAUUUGCAGGAAUGAUAGCCCUUUCUGAGGACAUGAAGUCUGCCAUGUUUCAAGGAGAUAGGUGCAGAGGAUUUGAAGAAAUUGCACCCCAAAGCCUUGAGAGCAAAACUCCUGUCACUUGUAUGUGUUAAGCCACAGUGGGGUCAAAACUGCAAGCCUGCUACGCCU